GGUUACACACUCAUUAGGAUCGGCCUGUCAGUUACAUUUCAUGCCUGCAACGCACCACGCUGCAGCUUUUCCAGCACGGCUCUCCCACGUCCCUCCCUUUUCCUUGAAGCCAAGCCCUAACGACAGCUAUGGGUGGGGAGAGGCUGAACAACGAGCGCAGCCAAAAUGUGGAAACUUCCCCGGGCGCUUAGCGGGGGAAAAAAAAACAGGAGAAAGAAAAAGGCAAAGAAAGGGCUCUGAUCAGACUAUGCAAGCAGCAAAACAGCAGCAGCUCGAUCAAAGGCGCUGCGCGGGAGGAAGAGUCCAGAGCCAUUCCCACCCAGGGAGAAGGGAGACCCGAGAGCAGGAAACGCAAAGACAAUGCGCCAUAAAGCUGCCGCAAGGUGUUGGAUCGAUGACAACAUCUGCAUGAAUCCUUCCCCUGGCAGCCAGGGAUACAAUAGAAGCUGUUCCUAUGGAAACCAGAGCAAAAGCAUCGGGCAGGAGGAAGAAGGCUGCAAUUAAAGGUGGAAAAGCGAGAGAGUAUUUUUAGAUUGCUUCGGAGGAACGCUACAGAAUGACAUCAUCCUAUCUUGUUAUUUGCACUGGGGCUAUGUAACAUACUGCGGCGUCUGCCCCUGGCCAUUAAAUGGAAAAACGUUAUUAUGUGUGUGAAUUAUAAAUACUGCGGUGAAACCCGAGCUCGGGAGUUAUUAGACAUCACUGUUCUGUAAUAAAGAAGAACAUUUAA
Gallus gallus (chicken) is the source of this 730-nucleotide long non-coding RNA. RefSeq lists it as uncharacterized. The record is from RefSeq and is a predicted model, not a curated record. Lineage: Eukaryota; Metazoa; Chordata; Aves; Galliformes; Phasianidae. The transcript is spliced from 3 exons.